UACGUAGGGUCCGAGCGUUGUCCGGAUUUAUUGGGCGUAAAGAGCUCGUAGGCGGCUUGCUAAGUCAGGUGUGAAACCUCCAGGCUCAACCUGGAGCCGCCACCUGAUACUGGUAUGGCUAGAGUCCGGUAGGGGACCACGGAAUUCCUGGUGUAGCGGUGAAAUGCGCAGAUAUCAGGAGGAACACCGGUGGCGAAGGCGGCAUCCUGGACCGGUAUUGACGCUGAGGCGCGAAAGCUAGGGGAGCACACGGG
Molecule: ribosomal RNA, 254 nt
Filed under: uncultured bacterium
Lineage: Bacteria
Description: partial 16S ribosomal RNA
Rfam family: Bacterial small subunit ribosomal RNA
Source: RNAcentral